Molecule: ribosomal RNA, 1362 nt
Filed under: uncultured bacterium
Lineage: Bacteria
Description: bacterial SSU rRNA
Rfam family: Bacterial small subunit ribosomal RNA
Source: RNAcentral
AUUGAACGCUGGCGGCAGGCCUAACACAUGCAAGUCGAGCGGUAGCACAGAGAGCUUGCUCUCGGGUGACGAGCGGCGGACGGGUGAGUAAUGUCUGGGAAACUGCCUGAUGGAGGGGGAUAACUACUGGAAACGGUAGCUAAUACCGCAUAAUGUCGCAAGACCAAAGUGGGGGACCUUCGGGCCUCAUGCCAUCAGAUGUGCCCAGAUGGGAUUAGCUAGUAGGUGGGGUAACGGCUCACCUAGGCGACGAUCCCUAGCUGGUCUGAGAGGAUGACCAGCCACACUGGAACUGAGACACGGUCCAGACUCCUACGGGAGGCAGCAGUGGGGAAUAUUGCACAAUGGGCGCAAGCCUGAUGCAGCCAUGCCGCGUGUGUGAAGAAGGCCUUCGGGUUGUAAAGCACUUUCAGCGGGGAGGAAGGCGGUGAGGUUAAUAACCUCAUCGAUUGACGUUACCCGCAGAAGAAGCACCGGCUAACUCCGUGCCAGCAGCCGCGGUAAUACGGAGGGUGCAAGCGUUAAUCGGAAUUACUGGGCGUAAAGCGCACGCAGGCGGUCUGUCAAGUCGGAUGUGAAAUCCCCGGGCUCAACCUGGGAACUGCAUUCGAAACUGGCAGGCUAGAGUCUUGUAGAGGGGGGUAGAAUUCCAGGUGUAGCGGUGAAAUGCGUAGAGAUCUGGAGGAAUACCGGUGGCGAAGGCUGCCCCCUGGACAAAAGACUGACACUCACGUGCGAAAGCGUGGGGAGCAAACAGGAUUAGAUACCCUGGUAGUCCACGCCGUAAACGAUGUCGAUUUGGAGGUUGUGCCCUUGAGGCGUGGCUUCCGGAGCUAACGCGUUAAAUCGACCGCCUGGGGAGUACGGCCGCAAGGUUAAAACUCAAAUGAAUUGACGGGGGCCCGCACAAGCGGUGGAGCAUGUGGUUUAAUUCGAUGCAACGCGAAGAACCUUACCUGGUCUUGACAUCCACAGAACUUUCCAGAGAUGGAUUGGUGCCUUCGGGAACUGUGAGACAGGUGCUGCAUGGCUGUCGUCAGCUCGUGUUGUGAAAUGUUGGGUUAAGUCCCGCAACGAGCGCAACCCUUAUCCUUUGUUGCCAGCGGUCCGGCCGGGAACUCAAAGGAGACUGCCAGUGAUAAACUGGAGGAAGGUGGGGAUGACGUCAAGUCAUCAUGGCCCUUACGACCAGGGCUACACACGUGCUACAAUGGCAUAUACAAAGAGAAGCGACCUCGCGAGAGCAAGCGGACCUCAUAAAGUAUGUCGUAGUCCGGAUUGGAGUCUGCAACUCGACUCCAUGAAGUCGGAAUCGCUAGUAAUCGUAGAUCAGAAUGCUACGGUGAAUACGUUCCCGGGCCU